Molecule: ribosomal RNA, 682 nt
Filed under: uncultured fungus
Lineage: Eukaryota; Fungi
Description: eukaryotic LSU rRNA
Rfam family: 5.8S ribosomal RNA (bases 275-428)
Source: RNAcentral
GCGGAGGAUCAUUACUGAAUAAAUAUUGAUAGGCUGUUGCUGGCUUUUUCCUUUCAAAGGGGGAAAUGCAGAUGUGCACGCUUGUCAUCUUUAUUUUUCUUCCACCUGUGCACUUUUUGUAGACCCUGGAGAAAAGUAAUUGUCUGAGCAAUCAGAUAGAUUGAGGACUGCCACAUUGGUUGGCUUUGCCUCAUGUCUUCAGGUUCUAUGUUAUUCACAUACUCCUAUGGAUGUAAUAGAAUGUUGACCUGUUAAUGAAACAAAAGUUGUAUACAACUUUCAGCAACGGAUCUCUUGGCUCUCGCAUCGAUGAAGAACGCAGCGAAAUGCGAUAAGUAAUGUGAAUUGCAGAAUUCAGUGAAUCAUCGAAUCUUUGAACGCAUCUUGCGCUCCUUGGUAUUCUGAGGAGCAUGCCUGUUUGAGUGUCAUUAAGUUCUCAACUACACUUCUUCUUUGAUUAGUGUGGAUUUGGAUUUGGGGGUUUGUUGGCUGCUAAAAGUCAACUCUCCUGAAAUUGAUUAGCAGUGCUAUAGCUAGAACUGUCUAUAGGUGUGAUAAUUANCUACACUCUAGAAGUCUACAUGAACAAUACUGCUUUCUAAUCUAUAAUGUUAAUGAUUAUAUUGACCNCNAAUCAGGUANGACUACCCACUGAACUUAAGCAUAUCAAUAAGCGGAGGAA